RNAcentral lists this ribosomal RNA (273 nucleotides) under uncultured bacterium. RNAcentral describes it as "partial 16S ribosomal RNA". It matches the Rfam family "Bacterial small subunit ribosomal RNA", at positions 524 to 796 of the family's 1533-position model. The record is from RNAcentral.
AACGUAGGAGCCUAGCGUUAUCCGAAUUUACUGGGCGUAAAGCGCGUGCAGGCGGCUUCGUAAGUGGAUUGUGAAAUCUCCCGGCUCAACUGGGAGGGGACGGUCCAGACUGCGAGGCUGGAGGCAGGGAGAGGGAGGUGGAAUUCCCGGUGUAGUGGUGAAAUGCGUAGAGAUCGGGAGGAACACCAGUGGCGAAAGCGGCCUCCUGGCCCUGACCUGACGCUGAGACGCGAAAGCUAGGGGAGCGAACGGGAUUAGAAACCCCCGUAGUCC